UUUAAAGUCUAACCUGCCCAAUGAGGAAUUGAAUGGCCGCGGUAAUUUGACCGUGCAAAGGUAGCAUAAUCAUUAGUUUUUUAAUUGAAAGCUGGAAUGAACGGUUGGACGAGAAAAUAACUGUCUCAAUUUAAAUUUUAGUAGAAUUUUAUUUGUAAGUAAAAAAGCUUACAUGAUUUUAAAAGACGAGAAGACCCUAUAGAGUUUUAUAAUUUAUUAUAUUAAAAGAGUUUAGAAUAUUUAUUUUUUAUAUAUAAUAAAUUAUUUUGCUGGGGCAGCAGGAAAAUUUAUUAAACUUUUUUUCAAUACAAACAUUGAUUUAUGAUUUAAUGAUCCAUUUUUUAUGAUUAUAAGAUUAAAUUACCUUAGGGAUAACAGCGUAAUUUUUUUUUAGAGUUCUAAUCGAAAAAAGAGUUUGCGACCUCGAUGUUGGAUUAAAAUUAACUUUUGGUGUAGGGGCUAAAAGGUUAGGUCUGUUCGACCUUUAAAAUUUUACAUGAUCUGAGUUUAAACCGGCGUAAGCCAGGUUGGUUUCUAUCUUUAAACAAUUUAAAUACUUUAGUACGAAAGGAUUAGGUAUUUUUAAUAUUUAAUAUAAUUUGAAUAGGAUUAUU
RNAcentral lists this ribosomal RNA (614 nucleotides) under Anisoplia dispar. Its description in RNAcentral is "partial 16S large subunit ribosomal RNA". It matches the Rfam family "Bacterial large subunit ribosomal RNA", at positions 1844 to 2735 of the family's 2925-position model. Lineage: Eukaryota; Metazoa; Arthropoda; Insecta; Coleoptera; Scarabaeidae. The record is from RNAcentral.